Molecule: ribosomal RNA, 435 nt
Filed under: uncultured bacterium
Lineage: Bacteria
Description: partial 16S ribosomal RNA
Rfam family: Bacterial small subunit ribosomal RNA
Source: RNAcentral
AGCGAACGCUGGCGGCAGGCUUAGCACAUGCAAGUCGAGCGGGCACUUUCGGGUGUCAGCGGCGGACGGGUGAGUAACGCGUGGGAACGUGCCCUCUGGUUCGGAAUAACUCAGGGAAACCUGAGCUAAUACCGGAUACGCCCUUUUGGGGAAAGGCUUGCUGCCGGAGGAUCGGCCCGCGUCUGAUUGGCUAGUUGGUGGGGUAACGGCACACCAAGGCGGCGAUCAGUAGCUGGGCUGAGAGGAUGCUCCGCCACACUGGGGCUGAGACACGGCCCAGACUCCUACGGGAGGCAGCAGUGGGGAAUAUUGGACGAUGGGCGCAAGCCUGAUCCAGCCAUGCCGCGUGAGUGAUCAAGGCCUUAGGGUUGUAAAGCUCUUUUAUCCGGGACGAUAAUGACGGUACCGGAGGAAUAAGCCCCGGCUAACUUCGUG